AAAGAGGUUUUAUUUAAUAAAAAUAAAAACACCAAAACACACACCCAAGUGUGUGUUCUGGUCGUGAGUUCUAACAGGAGAAAAAGGGGUUUCUCUAAUGAACCCUAAAAUGCACAAAAUCAACCAAAUCAAGAAGGCAAAUCAAGUCUAAAUCGAAAACCAAGCUAGGAUUAGUGAUCACUCGGGCUAGAGGAUCACAAGUUUGACUCUGACAAGCUAGGUAGGAGUUUGGAAAUGAACGGGUCAAAUAGAUACAAGUUCAAGUAUGAGGCUCGCAAGGAUGCAAGGUGAAUGUUAUAUGCUUCCGCAUGAGGAUCAAGCCACGAGCAAGAACCGAACACACCUCUCAAUGAAGCUUCCGCAUUCGAUCUUGUUUUGUUUUAAUAAAAGUGGAUUAUGUAAACACUUUUAGCGAUGUUUUGGAUGUUGUAAACAUGUUUAAAUACUUAUGAUGUAAAAGUUUUUGUUAAGUGGCAUUUUUCAUAUAAAAUGCUUACG
Molecule: long non-coding RNA, 498 nt
Filed under: Helianthus annuus (common sunflower)
Lineage: Eukaryota; Viridiplantae; Streptophyta; Magnoliopsida; Asterales; Asteraceae
Source: RNAcentral